RNAcentral lists this long non-coding RNA (660 nucleotides) under Homo sapiens (human). RNAcentral's name for it is "non-protein coding lnc-NIPA1-2:10". Lineage: Eukaryota; Metazoa; Chordata; Mammalia; Primates; Hominidae. The record is from RNAcentral.
CUUCCGUAGGAGUGCGGGUGUGCGUGCGUGCCGCGGAAAUCCCGCCUUCUGGCACCUGCGGUUGCCCCCUGGCCUCAGCCGGUGGGCUCCCAAGUAGGAAGAUAAACCGCAUUGCAGGAAGCGGGAGAGUCCGGAGGAGCGGCGAAGCGCUCCUCUUCCCCAUUGGCUGCGCCCACGGAGCCGCCUUGCGAUUGGCCCUAAGCGCGGGUGGCGGGGGUCGGGAGAGGCGUCAGGAUCCCUGGCGCCGCCUGAGCCAGCGGCUGCUAGGAGGCUGUGUCCGCAAGCCAGCGGGGCGAGGCGGCUGGGCCCUGCGCGUCAGGUCCCGGCCUGGGGCACCGGGGCUGCCAGCGUCGGAGGAGGCCUGAGAACUGGGAGGAAGCUGGAGAAAAGAUGCCCUCUGAAUCUUUGUGUUUGGCUGCCCAGGCUCGCCUUGACACCGAAUGGUUGAAAACAGAUAUACAGAUGAUAGUGUCGAACCAAGUGGAACAAAGAAAGAAGAUCUGAAUGACAAAGAGAAAAAAGAUGAAGACGAAACUCCUGCACCUGUAUAUAGGGCCAAGUCAAUUCUGGAGACCUGGGUGUGGGUCAAGCAACCAGGUAAUCUUCUGAGUUUUGGCAUUUUGGAAAGCUUGAUCUGACGCUCCUUUUCUAAAUAACUUG